GUCCAACGUUAAUCGGGGCAGGGUGAGUCGACCCCUAAGGCGAGGCAGAAAUGCGUAGUCGAUGGGAAACGGGUUAAUAUUCCCGUACUGGUGAUAAUUGCGAUGGGGGGACGGAGAAGGCUAGGCUGGCCGGGCGACGGUUGUCCCGGUUUAAGGAUGUAGGCAGGUGAAUUAGGCAAAUCCGGUUCACUAUAUGCUGAGGUCUGAUGACGAGUCACUACGGUGGCGAAGUAGCUCAUGCCCCGCUUCCAGGAA
RNAcentral lists this ribosomal RNA (255 nucleotides) under Providencia rettgeri. Its description in RNAcentral is "partial 23S ribosomal RNA". It matches the Rfam family "Bacterial large subunit ribosomal RNA", at positions 1357 to 1614 of the family's 2925-position model. Lineage: Bacteria; Pseudomonadati; Pseudomonadota; Gammaproteobacteria; Enterobacterales; Morganellaceae. The record is from RNAcentral.